CCUACGGGGUGCAGCAGUGGGGAAUAUUGCACAAUGGGGGAAACCCUGAUGCAGCGACGCCGCGUGAGUGAAGAAGUAUUUCGGUAUGUAAAGCUCUAUCAGCAGGGAAGAAAAUGAUGGUACCUGAUUAAGAAGUCCCGGCCAACUACGUACCAGCAGCCGCGGUAAUACGUAGGGGGCACGCGUUAUGCGGAUUUACUGGGUGGAAAGGGAGCGUAGACGGCAGCACAAGUCUGGAGUGAAAUGCCGGGGCUUAACCCCGGAACUGCUUUGGAAACUGUGCAGCUAGAGUGCAGGAGAGGUGAGUAGAAUUCCUGGUGUAGCGGUGAAAUGCGUAGAUAUUAGGAGGAACACCAGUGGCGAAGGCGGCUUACUGGACUGUAACUGACGUUGAGGCUCGAAAGCGUGGGGAGCAAACAGGAUUAGAUACCCGGGUAGUC
RNAcentral lists this ribosomal RNA (440 nucleotides) under uncultured bacterium. RNAcentral describes it as "partial 16S ribosomal RNA". It matches the Rfam family "Bacterial small subunit ribosomal RNA", at positions 338 to 795 of the family's 1533-position model. The record is from RNAcentral.